GAUGAACGCUGGCGGCGUGCUUAACACAUGCAAGUCGAACGGUGAAGGCGGAGCUUGCUCUGCUGGAUCAGUGGCGAACGGGUGAGUAACACGUGAGCAAUCUGCCCCUGACUCUGGGAUAAGCGCUGGAAACGGCGUCUAAUACUGGAUACGAGCUGCGAAGGCAUCUUCAGCUGCUGGAAAGAACUUCGGUCAGGGAUGAGCUCGCGGCCUAUCAGCUUGUUGGUGAGGUAACGGCUCACCAAGGCGUCGACGGGUAGCCGGCCUGAGAGGGUGACCGGCCACACUGGGACUGAGACACGGCCCAGACUCCUACGGGAGGCAGCAGUGGGGAAUAUUGCACAAUGGGCGAAAGCCUGAUGCAGCAACGCCGCGUGAGGGACGACGGCCUUCGGGUUGUAAACCUCUUUUAGCAGGGAAGAAGCGAAAGUGACGGUACCUGCAGAAAAAGCGCCGGCUAACUACGUG
RNAcentral lists this ribosomal RNA (468 nucleotides) under uncultured bacterium. RNAcentral describes it as "partial 16S ribosomal RNA". It matches the Rfam family "Bacterial small subunit ribosomal RNA", at positions 28 to 507 of the family's 1533-position model. The record is from RNAcentral.